RNAcentral lists this unclassified non-coding RNA (332 nucleotides) under soil metagenome. RNAcentral's name for it is "partial contains 5.8S ribosomal RNA, internal transcribed spacer 2, and large subunit ribosomal RNA". The stretch from base 1 to 120 matches the Rfam family "5.8S ribosomal RNA", at positions 35 to 154 of the family's 154-position model. The record is from RNAcentral.
GAUGAAGAACGUAGCAAAAUGCGAUAAGUAAUGUGAAUUGCAGAAUUCAGUGAAUCAUCGAAUCUUUGAACGCACAUUGCGCCCGCCAGUAUUCUGGCGGGCAUGCCUGUUCGAGCGUCAUUUCAACCCUCAAGCACAGCUUGGUGUUGGGACUCGCGUUAAUUCGCGUUCCCCAAAUUGAUUGGCGGUCACGUCGAGCUUCCAUAGCGUAGUAGUAAAACCCUCGUUACUGGUAAUCGUCGCGGCCACGCCGUUAAACACCAACUUCUGAAUGUUGACCUCGGAUCAGGUAGGAAUACCCGCUGAACUUAAGCAUAUCAAUAAGCGGAGGA